Molecule: transfer RNA, 71 nt
Filed under: Leucoraja garmani (rosette skate)
Lineage: Eukaryota; Metazoa; Chordata; Chondrichthyes; Rajiformes; Rajidae
Also listed under: 1 other name
Description: tRNA-Ser
Rfam family: tRNA
About the family: Transfer RNA (tRNA) molecules are approximately 80 nucleotides in length. Their secondary structure includes four short double-helical elements and three loops (D, anti-codon, and T loops).
Source: RNAcentral
AAGAAAGUGACAGAGUGGUGAUGUGGUUGGCUUGAAACCAGCUUAUGGGGGUUCAAUUCCUUCCUUUCUUG